GACGAACGCUGGCGGCGUGCUUAACACAUGCAAGUCGAACGGAAAGGCCCCUUUGGGGGUACUCGAGUUGCGCACGGGUGAGUAACACGUGAGUAACCUGCCCUUGACUUCGGGAUAACUUCAGGAAACUGGGGCUAAUACCGGAUAGGAAUCCUUGCUGCAUGGUGGGGGUUGGAAAGCUUCGGCGGUUUUGGAUGGACUCGCGGCUUAUCAGCUUGUUGGUGGGGUAGUGGCUUACCAAGGCUUUGACGGGUAGCCGGCCUGAGAGGGCGACCGGCCACAUUGGGACUGAGAUACGGCCCAGACUCCUACGGGAGGCAGCAGUGGGGAAUAUUGCACAAUGGGCGGAAGCCUGAUGCAGCAACGCCGCGGGCGGGAGGACGGCCUUCGGGUUGUAAACCGCUUUCAGCAGGGGCGAAGCUUGUGGUGACGGUACCUGCAGAAGAAGCACCGGCUAACUACGUG
RNAcentral lists this ribosomal RNA (465 nucleotides) under uncultured bacterium. RNAcentral describes it as "partial 16S ribosomal RNA". It matches the Rfam family "Bacterial small subunit ribosomal RNA", at positions 28 to 507 of the family's 1533-position model. The record is from RNAcentral.